CCAAGGAGUCUAACAUGUGCGCGAGUCAUUGGGACUUGUAAAACCUAAAGGCGUAAUGAAAGUGAAGGUCGACCUUGCGUCGACUAAGGGAGGAUGGGUUGUGUUACGAUGCAGCCCCGCACUCCCGGGGCGUCUCGUACUCAUUGCGAGUAGAGGCGCACCCAGAGCGUACACGUUGGGACCCGAAAGAUGGUGAACUAUGCCUGGUCAGGACGAAGUCAGGGGAAACCCUGAUGGAGGUCCGUAGCGAUUCUGACGUGCAAAUCGAUCGUCGGAACUGGGUAUAGGGGCGAAAGACUAAUCGAACCAUC
This 311-nucleotide ribosomal RNA is filed under the name Myrtopsen mimosae. RNAcentral describes it as "eukaryotic LSU rRNA". It matches the Rfam family "Eukaryotic large subunit ribosomal RNA", at positions 666 to 944 of the family's 3401-position model. The record is from RNAcentral. Lineage: Eukaryota; Metazoa; Arthropoda; Insecta; Hymenoptera; Figitidae.